Long non-coding RNA from Myotis myotis, 3460 nucleotides. RefSeq lists it as uncharacterized. The record is from RefSeq and is a predicted model, not a curated record. Lineage: Eukaryota; Metazoa; Chordata; Mammalia; Chiroptera; Vespertilionidae. The transcript is spliced from 3 exons.
CCGAUCCAUGAUUCUCUCUCAUCAUUGGUGUUUCUACCUCUCCCUUCCUCUCCAAAAUCAAUAAGAACAUUUUUUUUUAAGCUGUAUCUUUAAAACAAGAAGAAGAGGAGGAAACAGACACAGAGAGGGUGAGGGGCUUGUCCGAGGACACACAGCCCACACGCAGCUCCGCUGUAGAAAGCUCCAUGGAAGAGCCGCAGGCCGUGUCCGGAGGCCGCGGGCACACUGGCAGGACUGCAGGCGGCGCGGUGCAGCUGACCCUCGUGACAAGGAGUGAGGUUGGGGGUCAAGAGGCAAGAGGGUGGCAGGAGAAAAACUAGGCCCUGCUGGGAGCCAGUCUUUUCCUGCAGGAAAGAGAGAGAGAGAGAGAGAGAGAGAGAGGCCCUGAGGCUCAGAGGUCAUGCAACCCCUGCUCCUCUCCUCGCCCCACUCUAUAGGAGAGGACACGGAGGACAUGGAGGCCCAGACGUCCCUCACUUCCCCAGGUCACACAGCGGGGGGGCAGGGGGCAGGGCUGCCAAACCCAGACUCGGGGAGGAAGCCACCCCAGGGAGUGCCGGGCGCAGGGAGCAGGCCCAGGUCCAGGCUCCUCGGAAGGUGCAAGGGUUUUCUACACCAGAGCCGUGAGUCCGCCGCCUCCUUCCCUCGCACACCCUGGGGGACCCACCUGGUUCCGGCCUCCCCCUCCCCACCCACCAGAAGGCUGUUCCUUAGAAACCCGGCCGGGCUCCCGAACCUGGGCUUCCGCAGGGCCGGGCCGUGAGGGGAGGCAGCGGGUGGGCCGGAGCCACGGGAGGUAAAUAAAGUCACUGGCCAGCAAGGCGGCCGCUGGGCGGGGCGGAGGCCAGACCCUCGGUGGGCCGGUUCCCAGCCCUGCGCCCGGCAGUGCCCGAGCGGCUGGGCCGGGUUCUGGGCCGCGGCCCGGGCUGCAGCCAAGACACGAGGCUGCCUUGCCCCGGCCUGUCCCGGGCGGAGCUGCCUCUCGCCUGGCUCCGCGGCCCCCGCUGGGGCCUGUUCGGAUCUGCACGGAGGACCCACGCCGCCCGGCUGGCUCGGUGGAGAGACACUCGCUGUGCCCACCCCAUCCCGGGCCCUGGGCUGGGAGCCACGGGCAGGCGACCCCUGGUCUCCUGGGGCUCAGGUGCCAGCGGGGAUGGUCCCAGACCAGCAUUCUGCCACCUGGGCACGACCCUGGGGCUGGGUCCCUCUCGGCUGCGAGGGGCUGUCUUCUGCGUCUUGAAUGCUUAGCGGCACCUCGGGCAGCAGCGCCCUGGACAUGACCUCCCGCGAUGCCUCCAGACCUCACCUCGUGCCCCCGGCCCCCGUGGGCCAGAGCUCUGCGAGGGACACGCCCUGCCGGCCUCCCGCUCAGCUGUCCGGCCCUGGGACUCAGCAGUAAAAAGAUGCAGGGGAGAGACAUUCACUCUCAAACGCAGUUUAUUUCACCCAGGACAGCCACAGCACGGUCACAUCCACAUGUGAUGCACACAGAAGGUUGUCACAGAGAUUGUACAUCGUCUCCUCCCGCUACGUGUUCGGAACCCGUGGCCUCUCAGACUCGGCACAGCCGUGGGGCGGCCACCGCGGAGGACCCAGCUCCUCGGGACAGCAGAAGCGGGAGCCUGGCCGGCCAGUGGGUCCCCGCGGGCAGCACCGCAUCGCCCGGGGACCGUCAGAAAUGUGGGCUCAGGCGCCUCCCAGCCCUGCUGGUUCGGAAUCUGCGCUUUAACGGCCUCCCAGCUGCCUCACGGCUCCCCAGGCGGCCGGAGGGAGGGGUGACGGAGAGGUCAGGAGGGGGCCGAGCCUGAACCUGCUGAGAGGGGGUGAGCAGCCCCCCAGCCACAGUGGGGUUCAGGUGAAACCAACGGUGCUCCGUGCAGGCAGGCAUGGGGGAAGGGGGGAUGGAGGCAGGGGGGAUGGGUCAGGCAGGGAUGGGUGCCUGGCCCAGAAGCCUCAGGGAGGGUGAAUCCCGUUCUCCUGCAGCCCCUUCCUGGGGAACAGCCAGAGUGGGGGAGACACCGGUAUUUAUGAGGGUGAACACAGCCCUGGGGAGGUCAGAGGCCGUGGGCUGAGGACUGCUUCCUGUGCAGUGACCCUGGGUAGGUCACUGAGUCCCUCCGCCCUCAGCGGCCUCCCCUAAGCCGGUCACUGCAGCUAAAAGCCCUCGCAGAGCUGUCCAGUCAGCACGGUGACCGCAGUGCCGCGUCGCUCACACCCAGCACCUGGCCCUGUUCGCACGCAGCGCGAGCAGAGCCGGGUCCACUCGGACCGGCUGAGGCCCAGCGCCCACCCUCCCCACCUUCCCCCCAGGCUGACUCACAGACAAACCAGCUCCCGCCUCCUGACCCGCAGCCCUCCCUCCCACAGGCUCGCAUUUCUGCGCAGGGAGUGGACACCUAUUGCUUUUUGCCUCCCAGCAACCCUCCCCUUUCAUCCUUGGAAACAGCAUUUCUUUCCCAGCCCGUGCGGUAUUUCUGUUAGAAAGAAGAUUUCUCUCAGGUGAGGUGCUUAUGCUGCUAGAAUGUGGGCCCAGAGCUACUGGGAAGAUUCUCGCCACCCCUACCACACCCCCAUCGUGCGCCUACGAAGGCAGAGCUGAGAACCAGAGAACAGCAGAUCCCUAACACUAUUGCUUGGGCACCUGGAUACAGCCAUGCCUGAAGCAGGCCCCUGCCUGUCUUUCCCCCUCUCGCUGAUUUAAAUCCCAUUUCUGUCCCUUGCAACCAAGAGUACCUGGUUGACUAAUGCAAGGCUCGUGUACCUUAGACCAGACCAGACUGACUCAACAGUAUAGAGACGGAAGAGGAAAAAGGCAAAACAAACAAAUAAAAAACUUUCUCUUUCUUGCGCUUUCAUCUUCUGGAGACGGUGCCUCGGUUAAUGGUUGCUGAAUGAGUGUGCAAACACGUUCAGGGGAGCCCUGCCCAUGGCCACUUACUAAUCACCAGGUUACCUGGGUAAACAUUAGGGCGCUUGGUGCCAACCAGAGCUGUCCACGUGAAACCUGUGUCAGUGCCACGAAAAUACGCCCCACGCCGUUUCCGGCGGCCCCGCGAGAACUUGCCAGAGCUGUGAACGCCCAGCAAGGCUGCAUGUCUGUCUCGGCGCUGGGGACGUGUGCUGGCCGUUGCCUCCUGCAGAGCAGGAGCCAUUCAGCAAAUAUUUACCGCCGGCUUCCGGGUGCCACUCUCUUGGGGUGUCUGAACCAGGACCGGCAAGACCCGCAGUUUCUCGGAGUUCGCCUAUGCGUUGGGACCGAGGUGGCCAGUUCCUACUACUUACUUCUCCGGAGUGUAGAGAAGAUGGCAUUAGAGCCUGGGGAGGGAAGUGCUUUUUAACGUUGAAAUGUCCUGUAAAAAAACAUGUUCUGUCCUGGCCAGCUGGCUCAGUGGAUAGAGUGUCAGCCUACGGACUGAAGGGUCCCAGGUUCGAUUCCCGGUCAAGGGCACAUGCCCGGGUU